RNAcentral lists this ribosomal RNA (496 nucleotides) under uncultured bacterium. Its description in RNAcentral is "partial 16S ribosomal RNA". It matches the Rfam family "Bacterial small subunit ribosomal RNA", at positions 33 to 507 of the family's 1533-position model. The record is from RNAcentral.
CUUCACUCUGGCGGCGUGCCUAAUACCUGCAAGUCGAGCGCACGGACGAGAAGCUUGCUUCUCUGAUGUUAGCGGCGGACGGGUGAGUAACACGUGGAUAACCUACCUAUAAGACUGGGAUAACUUCGGGAAACCGGAGCUAAUACCGGAUAAUAUUUUGAACCGCAUGGUUCAAAAGUGAAAGACGGUCUUGCUGUCACUUAUAGAUGGAUCCGCGCUGCAUUAGCUAGUUGGUAAGGUAACGGCUUACCAAGGCAACGAUGCAUAGCCGACCUGAGAGGGUGAUCGGCCACACUGGAACUGAGACACGGUCCAGACUCCUACGGGAGGCAGCAGUAGGGAAUCUUCCGCAAUGGGCGAAAGCCUGACGGAGCAACGCCGCGUGAGUGAUGAAGGUCUUCGGAUCGUAAAACUCUGUUAUUAGGGAAGAACAUAUGUGUAAGUAACUGUGCACAUCUUGACGGUACCUAAUCAGAAAGCCACGGCUAACUACGUG